CUGAUCCCCCAGAACUAGGACCGGGGUCAGGGGGUUGGGGGUAGUCGGAUAAUUUGCAUUCAGAACAAGUUCCCAGGUGAUGCUGACGCUUCAGGUCUGGGAGCACAGUGAUUUAAGAUCAGCACUCACUUCUCAAACCUAAAAGUUCAUAUGAAUCAUCAGGAUCUUCCCAAAACAGAUUCUGACUGAGUAUAUGUCGGGUAGGGCCUGAGAUUCAGGAUCUGAAAUAAGUUCCCAGGUGAUGAGAAUGGUAUUAGUGGGCUACACUUUAGUUAGGAAGGGUUUAGAUUACAAUUUAGUAGUUUCCACAGUUGCUCUGUAUUUGACUCACCUGAAGUUAUGGACUAAACGUAAUCCCCGGAAUUCGCCUGUUGAAAUCCUAACCCCUAAUAUGAUUGUAUUAGGAGGUGGGCCAGAGAUGAAUAGGUCACGAUGUAGAGCUCUCAGGAAUGAGAUUAGUGCCCUUAUAAAAGAGACUUCUGAAACUCUCUUCGCUUCUACCCUGUGAGGACACAGCUAGAAAACAGAGGCCUGCAAACCAGGAAGUGGGUCUCACCAGAAACUGAAUCUGCUGACACUUUGAACUUGGACUUCUCAGAUUCUAGAACUGGUAGAAAAAAACAUGUUUGUUGUUGAAGCCACUCAGUUUAGGGUAAUUUGUUAUAGUAAUAAUUAUAAUAAUUUGUUAUAUCAGCCUGAACUAAGACAUCUGGGGAGCUAGCUAUCUAAAUUACCCAGACAUUCUGUUUUAAUCUUCCAGAAGGAAAGCUCAGGAAGCUAUAUUUAAAAAAAAAAAAAAAAAAAAAAAAAACUAGGUGAGCACACACUUGACUUACAGAACCACUGAUUUAAAUAAUACCAAAUAAUGUAAGGAAAUGCUAAGUAAUGUCUGCUUGUGCAAUCCCAGUUGGAAAAGGCUGGGAGCUGGGUCAAGUGAGUGUACAAACCUUCAGAAUCCUAGGCUGAUAUUUCAUUGGGGAAGCAAGUGUUUCUAUAUAAAAUGAAGAGAAAAUAAUACAAAUAAUCUGAGACUUAUGACUGAAUAAAUGACUCUUUAACAUUACCAUUUGCUGCAUAUAGGAAUGGCCUGCGUAGAAAAUCCCCUCGUGAUGCUCUCACGCUUAACCACACCUUUCAUCCUUGCUAUAUGCUCUGUACCUGGAAUAUGUUCCAAACCACUACUUCACCCAAGGCUCUACCAUUUACAGGCUAUGGGGAAGAUACGCCACUCUCAUACCACAGCAAAGGUGUAUAGUAUCAACAUGACAUCACCAUCGAUGUUAAUCCUGAUAACUUUCCUGAGAUGAGGGAAUGGGCCCCAGAUGACACAGAUAGUAGGUCCCAGACACAAACGCAGACAUCUUGUUCCAGUGUCCCUGCUUUUCACUCUGCAGUGCUGCUGAUUCCACCGUUCAUCAGCUAGUAGCUUCAAAGUGGGCAAGAAACUGGUCAUGACAGAGAAUGUAGAAGGAACCAAAUAGUAAUCAAAAGACAAAACACAGCAAUUUCAUAGAAGCCAAAGGAUCAACAAAAGUAAAACCUAAAGGUAAUUUUAGGAAUAUUUGAAGUAAUAUAAACAUCCAUUGACACCAUGACCAAAUUCAGACAAUUCUGUUAAUGUUCUUUUUUCCUUCUGUCCACCUUCUCUCCUUUUUUCUUUCUUUGACAUCAGGCAGGUCCAGUAAUGGUGGCUGUGCAAGGAUGGAGUAUCAGCAUUGGGGGAUUGGGAAGCUUGGUAAACUGGGAAAUUGUGUACAUAAGGGGUUGAGCACAUAAGCAAAUAUGCUGAGGAUGAUGAGGCUUGAUUUUUCACUGACGAAGAAGUGAAUACAAAUAUAGAACAGAGGAAGAUUCAAACGAGCCAUAAACUCUGUAGUGUAGACUGGAAUAAGAGAUUUAAUAGAAAAUGUAAAUGAAAGGUACAAGCCAAACAUUGAGGCCCCAGUAUUAAUGAACUUACCUCACAUCCAGACUCUGAUUUCUAUGUACUAUUUUCCACAAAAAGAGCCAAGCCUUCUUGGAGAAUUAGCUUAUCCAAAUCAGGGUCAAGGAAAGUGGAGAAUGAACUUGGAACAUAUUGUGCCAAAUACAGAGGAAGUCCUUAAAACAAUGAAGGAAAGAGUUUAGAAGACAUUAUCUAGCUGGAAGGGGCUCCUCCCGUCCAAAUCUGGGAAAAUUAAAGCAUCAAAAUAAAUAAUCAUAUUGAUGGGUUAUAAUCCAUUCAACUAAUAAAAAUAAGUAGAGAUUAGAGGAACUAUUCUUUACAGUAGAAUAUCAAAUAAUAGAUAUAGAAAAAGUAUUGCAAUUUGAAAACCACCACUUCUGCCCAUUGUAGCAAUAAUAAAUUCAAUACAUGCUGCAUCUAGUGGUGAAUGGGAGCUGAAGAAUGGGGUAUUUUCAUGAAACCAAAGUAUCUACACACAAAAAGUGCUUAGUAAUUCCAAGGUAAGGUUCCAGAGGAGAAUCCUAACAGACAUAGUAUUUAUCAAGUAAUCAAAUUAGCACCAUCAAUAAUGGGACAAAUUAGCAUCAUGUGCCACCUGAAAGGAUACAGCAAGACCACCACCUUCCUUCUGCAGUAUUUUUGCCAAAAAUAUAUUAAUGUGGUACUCUUCUAGAGGAAACAUUAGACAAAUCCACAUUGAGAAAAACUCUACAAAAGACAUGCUCAGAAACCUUAGAAAGGUCAAGGAGUGCCUAAUACAUUACCCCAGAUUGAAGGAGCUUAGAGAGACAUGACUACUGGGUACAGUAAGAGGUCCUAGUAAUGGUGCACUUGUAAUAAAAGGCAUGCCUGGGACAAUUGACAACACUUGAAAAGAUCUCUGGAUAAUGGGUAUAUUGGUAUUUCUUUGUAGCAAUCUUUUUACUUUUCAUGUCUAAUGUUAUUUCAGACUUUUUAAAAGGUCAUUUUAAAAAAUAAAAAAAUAAAUAAUUUCUUCACCAAAUUACUAUCUCUAGUAAUCUCCUUGUGUGGCUGAAGAGAUAGCUGAGCAGUCUUCCUUAGGGGUAUGCCACUCCAAAUAGUCACAGACUUUCAAAAUGGGGUAUUUGAUCAGACAUACUGAUUAUGGGAAUAGUAGCUUAUUCUCCUUAAGAAUUUACUGUG
Molecule: long non-coding RNA, 3109 nt
Organism: Canis lupus familiaris (dog)
Lineage: Eukaryota; Metazoa; Chordata; Mammalia; Carnivora; Canidae
Exons: 4
Source: RefSeq, a predicted model, not a curated record